Long non-coding RNA from Physella acuta, 318 nucleotides. RefSeq lists it as uncharacterized. The record is from RefSeq and is a predicted model, not a curated record. NCBI's taxonomy places the organism in Eukaryota, Metazoa, Mollusca, Gastropoda, Physidae.
AUUUAUAGACAGUUCGAAACAUCAUCCAUCUGGACGAGGAACUAGAGGAUAAGUUCACAGUCCUUUAAGAUGCGACUUGUACUCAUCUCCUUGCUGGUCGUGUUGGUGUCUGGGACUGUGAGAGCAGAGAAUGACGUAGACAACGACGAGUCUGUAGAGGUGGAACGUCGACAAGGGUCUAUUAUUUUAUUGUGUAGAUUCUUCGGAGAAAAAUGUAUUUAUCAAAGACAAAUUGCGGAGUCUCAGCCAGCACAGAUACGAUAACUUCAAAUCAGCCCAUGGUUUUAUCUUGAUUAGAUAAAAAAGAAAAUGGCGAAA